GUGCGAUGAGGAUAAAAACUUUUUAUCUUUGAUAAAACGUGAUGACCAAAAAUACGCUAUUCUGAGCAAUGC
Molecule: small nucleolar RNA, 72 nt
Organism: Gadus morhua (Atlantic cod)
Lineage: Eukaryota; Metazoa; Chordata; Actinopteri; Gadiformes; Gadidae
Product: small nucleolar RNA U54
Source: Ensembl